UACGGGGGGAGCAAGCGUUGUUCGGAUUUACUGGGCGUAAAGGGCGCGUAGGCGGUCGUGACAAGUCACUUGUGAAAUCUCCGGGCUUAACUCGGAACGGUCAAGUGAUACUGUCGGACUAGAGUACAGAAGGGGCAACUGGAAUUCUCGGUGUAGCGGUGAAAUGCGUAGAUAUCGAGAGGAACACCUGCGGCGAAGGCGGGUUGCUGGGCUGAUACUGACGCUGAGGCGCGAAAGCGUGGGGAGCGGACAGG
This 254-nucleotide ribosomal RNA is filed under the name uncultured bacterium. Its description in RNAcentral is "partial 16S ribosomal RNA". It matches the Rfam family "Bacterial small subunit ribosomal RNA", at positions 524 to 776 of the family's 1533-position model. The record is from RNAcentral.